RNAcentral lists this ribosomal RNA (253 nucleotides) under uncultured bacterium. Its description in RNAcentral is "partial 16S ribosomal RNA". It matches the Rfam family "Bacterial small subunit ribosomal RNA", at positions 524 to 776 of the family's 1533-position model. The record is from RNAcentral.
UACAGAGGGUGCAAGCGUUGUCCGGAAUUAUUGGGCGUAAAGAGCUUGUAGGUGGUUUGUCGCGUCUGCUGUGAAAAUCCGGGGCUCAACCCCGGACUUGCAGUGGGUACGGGCAGACUAGAGUGUGGUAGGGGAGACUGGAAUUCCUGGUGUAGCGGUGAAAUGCGCAGAUAUCAGGAGGAACACCGAUGGCGAAGGCAGGUCUCUGGGCCAUUACUGACACUGAGAAGCGAAAGCAUGGGGAGCGAACAGG